This 478-nucleotide ribosomal RNA is filed under the name uncultured bacterium. Its description in RNAcentral is "partial 16S ribosomal RNA". It matches the Rfam family "Bacterial small subunit ribosomal RNA", at positions 28 to 523 of the family's 1533-position model. The record is from RNAcentral.
GACGAACGCUGGCGGCGUGCUUAACACAUGCAAGUCGAACGGUAAGGCCCUUCGGGGUACACGAGUGGCGAACGGGUGAGUAACACGUGGGUGAUCUGCCCUGCACUUCGGGAUAAGCCUGGGAAACUGGGUCUAAUACCGGAUAGGACCACUGCCUGCAUGGGCGGGGGUGGAAAGCUUUUGCGGUGUGGGAUGGGCCCGCGGCCUAUCAGCUUGUUGGUGGGGUGAUGGCCUACCAAGGCGACGACGGGUAGCCGGCCUGAGAGGGUGACCGGCCACACUGGGACUGAGAUACGGCCCAGACGCCUACGGGAGGCAGCAGUGGGGAAUAUUGCACAAUGGGCGCAAGCCUGAUGCAGCGACGCCGCGUGAGGGAUGACGGCCUUCGGGUUGUAAACCUCUUUCAGCACCGACGAAGCGCAAGUGACGGUAGGUGCAGAAGAAGGACCGGCCAACUACGUGCCAGCCGCCGCGGUAA